UGAGCGGAUGAACUGAGGGUAGCGGAGAAAUUCCAAUCGAACCUGGAGAUAGCUGGUUCUCUCCGAAAUAGCUUUAGGGCUAGCCUCAAGUGAUGAUUAUUGGAGGUAGAGCACUGUUUGGACGAGGGGCCCCUCUCGGGUUACCGAAUUCAGACAAACUCCGAAUGCCAAUUAAUUUAACUUGGGAGUCAGAACAUGGGUGAUAAGGUCCGUGUUCGAAAGGGAAACAGCCCAGACCACCAGCUAAGGUCCCAAAAUAUAUGUUAAGUGGAAAAGGAUGUGGCGUUGCCCAGACAACUAGGAUGUUGGCUUAGAAGCAGCCAUCAUUUAAAGAGUGCGUAAUAGCUCACUAGUCGAGUGACACUGCGCCGAAAAUGUACCGGGGCUAAACAUAUUACCGAAGCUGUGGAUUGUCCUUUGGACAAUGGUAGGAGAGCGUUCUAAGGGCGUUGAAGCAUGAUCGUAAGGACAUGUGGAGCGCUUAGAAGUGAGAAUGCCGGUGUGAGUAGCGAAAGACGGGUGAGAAUCCCGUCCACCGAUUGACUAAGGUUUCCAGAGGAAGGCUCGUCCGCUCUGGGUUAGUCGGGUCCUAAGCUGAGGCCGACAGGCGUAGGCGAUGGAUAACAGGUUGAUAUUCCUGUACCACCUAUAAUCGUUUUAAUCGAUGGGGGGACGCAGUAGGAUAGGCGAAGCGUGCGAUUGGAUUGCACGUCUAAGCAGUAAGGCUGAGUAUUAGGCAAAUCCGGUACUCAUUAAGGCUGAGCUGUGAUGGGGAGAAGACAUUGUGUCUUCGAGUCGUUGAUUUCACACUGCCGAGAAAAGCCUCUAGAUAGAAAAUAGGUGCCCGUACCGCAAACCGACACAGGUAGUCAAGAUGAGAAUUCUAAGGUGAGCGAGCGAACUCUCGUUAAGGAACUCGGCAAAAUGACCCCGUAACUUCGGGAGAAGGGGUGCUCUUUAGGGUUAACGCCCAGAAGAGCCGCAGUGAAUAGGCCCAAGCGACUGUUUAUCAAAAACACAGGUCUCUGCUAAACCGUAAGGUGAUGUAUAGGGGCUGACGCCUGCCCGGUGCUGGAAGGUUAAGAGGAGUGGUUAGCUUCUGCGAAGCUACGAAUCGAAGCCCCAGUAAACGGCGGCCGUAACUAUAACGGUCCUAAGGUAGCGAAAUUCCUUGUCGGGUAAGUUCCGACCCGCACGAAAGGCGUAACGAUUUGGGCACUGUCUCAACGAGAGACUCGGUGAAAUCAUAGUACCUGUGAAGAUGCAGGUUACCCGCGACAGGACGGAAAGACCCCGUGGAGCUUUACUGUAGCCUGAUAUUGAAAUUCGGCACAGCUUGUACAGGAUAGGUAGGAGCCUUUGAAACGUGAGCGCUAGCUUACGUGGAGGCGCUGGUGGGAUACUACCCUAGCUGUGUUGGCUUUCUAACCCGCACCACUUAUCGUGGUGGGAGACAGUGUCAGGCGGGCAGUUUGACUGGGGCGGUCGCCUCCUAAAAGGUAACGGAGGCGCUCAAAGGUUCCCUCAGAAUGGUUGGAAAUCAUUCAUAGAGUGUAAAGGCAUAAGGGAGCUUGACUGCGAGACCUACAAGUCGAGCAGGGUCGAAAGACGGACUUAGUGAUCCGGUGGUUCCGCAUGGAAGGGCCAUCGCUCAACGGAUAAAAGCUACCCCGGGGAUAACAGGCUUAUCUCCCCCAAGAGUUCACAUCGACGGGGAGGUUUGGCACCUCGAUGUCGGCUCAUCGCAUCCUGGGGCUGUAGUCGGUCCCAAGGGUUGGGCUGUUCGCCCAUUAAAGCGGUACGCGAGCUGGGUUCAGAACGUCGUGAGACAGUUCGGUCCCUAUCCGUCGUGGGCGUAGGAAAUUUGAGAGGAGCUGUCCUUAGUACGAGAGGACCGGGAUGGACAUACCUCUGGUGUACCAGUUGUCGUGCCAACGGCAUAGCUGGGUAGCUAUGUGUGGACGGGAUAAGUGCUGAAAGCAUCUAAGCAUGAAGCCCCCCUCAAGAUGAGAUUUCCCAACUUCGGUUAUAAGAUCCCUCAAAGAUGAUGAGGUUAAUAGGUUCGAGGUGGAAGCAUGGUGACAUGUGGAGCUGACGAAUACUAA
This 2105-nucleotide ribosomal RNA is filed under the name Staphylococcus aureus. RNAcentral's name for it is "partial 23S ribosomal RNA". It matches the Rfam family "Bacterial large subunit ribosomal RNA", at positions 797 to 2904 of the family's 2925-position model. The record is from RNAcentral. Lineage: Bacteria; Bacillati; Bacillota; Bacilli; Caryophanales; Staphylococcaceae.